GAGGGUAUAGGUCAGUGACAGAGCAUGUGCUUAGCAUGCACAAGGUCCUGGGUUCAAUCCUCAGUAUCUCCA
Molecule: transfer RNA, 72 nt
Filed under: Camelus bactrianus (Bactrian camel)
Lineage: Eukaryota; Metazoa; Chordata; Mammalia; Artiodactyla; Camelidae
Also listed under: 2 other names
Rfam family: tRNA
About the family: Transfer RNA (tRNA) molecules are approximately 80 nucleotides in length. Their secondary structure includes four short double-helical elements and three loops (D, anti-codon, and T loops).
Source: Rfam by way of RNAcentral